This 513-nucleotide ribosomal RNA is filed under the name Rhizobium sp. RNAcentral's name for it is "bacterial SSU rRNA". It matches the Rfam family "Bacterial small subunit ribosomal RNA", at positions 196 to 729 of the family's 1533-position model. Lineage: Bacteria; Pseudomonadati; Pseudomonadota; Alphaproteobacteria; Hyphomicrobiales; Rhizobiaceae. The record is from RNAcentral.
ACGGGGGAAAGAUUUAUCGGGGAAGGAUUGGCCCGCGUUGGAUUAGCUAGUUGGUGGGGUAAAGGCCUACCAAGGCGACGAUCCAUAGCUGGUCUGAGAGGAUGAUCAGCCACAUUGGGACUGAGACACGGCCCAAACUCCUACGGGAGGCAGCAGUGGGGAAUAUUGGACAAUGGGCGCAAGCCUGAUCCAGCCAUGCCGCGUGAGUGAUGAAGGCCUUAGGGUUGUAAAGCUCUUUCACCGAUGAAGAUAAUGACGGUAGUCGGAGAAGAAGCCCCGGCUAACUUCGUGCCAGCAGCCGCGGUAAUACGAAGGGGGCUAGCGUUGUUCGGAAUUACUGGGCGUAAAGCGCACGUAGGCGGAUAUUUAAGUCAGGGGUGAAAUCCCGCAGCUCAACUGCGGAACUGCCUUUGAUACUGGGUAUCUUGAGUAUGGAAGAGGUAAGUGGAAUUCCGAGUGUAGAGGUGAAAUUCGUAGAUAUUCGGAGGAACACCAGUGGCGAAGGCGGCUUAC